Molecule: long non-coding RNA, 630 nt
Organism: Mauremys mutica (yellowpond turtle)
Lineage: Eukaryota; Metazoa; Chordata; Testudines; Geoemydidae
Exons: 4
Source: RefSeq, a predicted model, not a curated record
GGAACAAGGGAGCUAUUACUGGAGGACUAAGAAAGGAAGGAAAAGGGAAAGCAAACGGAAAGCUGCCAAACUCAUAAGGCGUUUCAAACAUUUCAACUGCAUAUCCCGGAGGACCUUGCCGAUCAGGUGAAAGGGUGGGAAGGCAUAGAAAAGCUGGCCUGACCACUGCAGGAGGGAGGCAUCUGAGAUCACCCCCUUCCCGAUUCCUUCCCUGGAGCAGAACUGGAGACAGCACCGGUUCUGGUCAGUUGCAAAGAGGUCGACCCGGGGAACUCCCCACUCUUGGAAGAGCUGGUGAGUGACCUCCGAGUGGAGUGACCACUUGUACUGGUGGGAGAAAACCCUGCUGAGGCAACCGGCUCGCACAUUGCGGACACCGGGCUGAGAUCUGCACAUGUGGACAGGAGCAGUUCCACAUGGGCCUGCAUCUGGGACCAAGAGCUGCCCUUGAGAAGCCAAUCGUCCAGGGUAGGUCCUGCAUAAGGGACUGGGCCUCCACUGACAGCCCUGAGAGGAGGAGCCAAGAUGCCACGCGCAUGGAAAUGGCGGAAGCCAUCGAGCAGGCUUCCAUAUCGGCCGCAUCCAACGCCACCUGGAGGGUCGCUUUUGCCGCUGCCGCCCCUUCCUCUA